This 853-nucleotide ribosomal RNA is filed under the name Bacillus sp. B-9. Its description in RNAcentral is "bacterial SSU rRNA". It matches the Rfam family "Bacterial small subunit ribosomal RNA", at positions 34 to 866 of the family's 1533-position model. Lineage: Bacteria; Bacillati; Bacillota; Bacilli; Caryophanales; Bacillaceae. The record is from RNAcentral.
CACGAGUGGCGGGUGCUAUAAUGCAAGUCGAGCGGACAGAAGGGAGCUUGCUCCCGGAUGUUAGCGGCGGACGGGUGAGUAACACGUGGGUAACCUGCCUGUAAGACUGGGAUAACUCCGGGAAACCGGAGCUAAUACCGGAUAGUUCCUUGAACCGCAUGGUUCAAGGAUGAAAGACGGUUUCGGCUGUCACUUACAGAUGGACCCGCGGCGCAUUAGCUAGUUGGUGAGGUAACGGCUCACCAAGGCGACGAUGCGUAGCCGACCUGAGAGGGUGAUCGGCCACACUGGGACUGAGACACGGCCCAGACUCCUACGGGAGGCAGCAGUAGGGAAUCUUCCGCAAUGGACGAAAGUCUGACGGAGCAACGCCGCGUGAGUGAUGAAGGUUUUCGGAUCGUAAAGCUCUGUUGUUAGGGAAGAACAAGUGCAAGAGUAACUGCUUGCACCUUGACGGUACCUAACCAGAAAGCCACGGCUAACUACGUGCCAGCAGCCGCGGUAAUACGUAGGUGGCAAGCGUUGUCCGGAAUUAUUGGGCGUAAAGGGCUCGCAGGCGGUUUCUUAAGUCUGAUGUGAAAGCCCCCGGCUCAACCGGGGAGGGUCAUUGGAAACUGGGAAACUUGAGUGCAGAAGAGGAGAGUGGAAUUCCACGUGUAGCGGUGAAAUGCGUAGAGAUGUGGAGGAACACCAGUGGCGAAGGCGACUCUCUGGUCUGUAACUGACGCUGAGGAGCGAAAAGCGUGGGGAGCGAACAGGAUUAGAUACCCUGGUAGUCCCACCCCGUAAAACGAUGAGUGCUAAGUGUUAGGGGGUUUCCGCCCCCUAGUGUUGCAGCCUAAUGCAUAUAAUU